Molecule: ribosomal RNA, 653 nt
Filed under: Pomphorhynchus bulbocolli
Lineage: Eukaryota; Metazoa; Acanthocephala; Palaeacanthocephala; Echinorhynchida; Pomphorhynchidae
Description: eukaryotic LSU rRNA
Rfam family: Eukaryotic large subunit ribosomal RNA
Source: RNAcentral
CUGUAUACUGCAAAGCGAAUGAUUGAGCGAUGUUGACGUCAUCGUUCAGGUACUGAGUGUGUUAAAAUGAUUACGCAGUUGCGUAGUGGUGAAGUGGCACAAAGUACUGCAGUUGAUGACGUAUGUGGUUGCUUGAUGAUCAGGCGGUAGUGCGAUAUCUUGUCGAAAAGGAUCUUCGAAAGGAGCAUCCUGGAGCAAUGUGUCGUGAUCUGUGCUUAUAGUGCAGUUGCUACCGUUCGUUCAUUGUUGUAAACUGCCUCGAGCUAGGUGCGCUGCUUGUAUGUACUGUUCACUGAGUGAGCAUGUACUGUGACUGUUUGUACGUUCGAAGGUUCAUGGAGAGCAACAAGAUUUGCUAAGAAUCAUUCGAACCGUCUUGAAACACGGACUAAGGAGUUCAACUCGAACGCAAGUCAUUUCUUAUGACAAAAUUAAAAGGCUAAGUGAAAACAACUCUAAAUGAGAUGCGAACAAAUGCAUGAGCGCAGAUGAUAAGCACAAGUGAUGAGUGGCACAGUUGUAAUUGUUGCUUACUGCACCUGAGCGUUCAGGUUGAGACCCGAAAGAUGGUGAACUAUGCCUGAGUAGAAUGAAGCCAGGGGAAACUCUGGUGGAGGUUCGUAGCGGUUUUGACGUGCAAAUCAAUCGCCAAA